Molecule: long non-coding RNA, 390 nt
Filed under: Brassica napus (rape)
Lineage: Eukaryota; Viridiplantae; Streptophyta; Magnoliopsida; Brassicales; Brassicaceae
Description: long non-coding RNA (BNAP_LNC002921)
Source: RNAcentral
UGGUUCGAUUCCCUUUUGCAUGCGUGGUAUUUGAUCUGGGUUUGCAUCGUCUCACUCUCGCCGGUAUUUUUUGGCCGCCGUCGUCUAUUCUCACCGAUUCCAGAAGGAUCUCGCCGUCGUCUUCCGAAUCGAACGAUACCAGGUUUGUCUUCUAUAUCUGUUAAUCAUCUGUCUCUAUGUUAAGGUCUGCGAAUUACAGGAAACGAUUUGCUUGGUUUGUUCGAAUUGAUUGGUUUGUUUCUGAAUAUUUGGUUGUAUAGUUCGUGUGUAUAGAGUUUCUGAAUGUUUGUGUGUAUAGGUUCUGAUGGAUUGGUUGGUGAGGAAUUUGAUUGUGAACUGAUCUGUGUCUGAUUGUAAAGUCCAUUGAUGCAUGUAUUUUAGAAUAAAUUU